This 301-nucleotide ribosomal RNA is filed under the name uncultured bacterium. RNAcentral describes it as "partial 16S ribosomal RNA". It matches the Rfam family "Bacterial small subunit ribosomal RNA", at positions 509 to 807 of the family's 1533-position model. The record is from RNAcentral.
CAGCAGCCGCGGUAAUACGGAGGGUGCAAGCGUUAAUCGGAAUUACUGGGCGUAAAGCGCACGCAGGCGGUCUGACAAGUCAGAUGUGAAAUCCCCGGGCUUAACCUGGGAACUGCAUUUGAAACUGUCAGGCUGGAGUCUUGUAGAGGGGGGUGGAAUUCCAGGUGUAGCGGUGAAAUGCGUAGAGAUCUGGAGGAAUACCGGUGGCGAAGGCGGCCCCCUGGACAAAGACUGACGCUCAGGUGCGAAAGCGUGGGGAGCAAACAGGAUUAGAUACCCCUGUAAUCCCUGUCUCUUAUAC